GAUGAACGCUGGCGGCGUGCCUAAUACAUGCAAGUCGAGCGAACGGACGAGAAGCUUGCUUCUCUGAUGUUAGCGGCGGACGGGUGAGUAACACGUGGAUAACCUACCUAUAAGACUGGGAUGACUUCGGGAAACCGGAGCUAAUACCGGAUGAUAUUUUGAACCGCAUGGUUCAAAAGUGAAAGACGGUCUUGCUGUCACUUAUAGAUGGAUCCGCGCUGCAUUAGCUAGUUGGUAAGGUAGCGGCUUACCAAGGCAACGAUGCAUAGCCGACCUGAGAGGGUGAUCGGCCACACUGGAACUGAGACACGGUCCAGACUCCUACGGGAGGCAGCAGUAGGGAAUCUUCCGCAAUGGGCGAAAGCCUGACGGAGCAACGCCGCGUGAGUGAUGAAGGUCUUCGGAUCGUAAAACUCUGUUAUUAGGGAAGAACAUAUGUGUAAGUAACUGUGCACAUCUUGACGGUACCUAAUCAGAAAGCCACGGCUAACUACGUG
Molecule: ribosomal RNA, 497 nt
Filed under: uncultured bacterium
Lineage: Bacteria
Description: partial 16S ribosomal RNA
Rfam family: Bacterial small subunit ribosomal RNA
Source: RNAcentral